This is a long non-coding RNA of Aegilops tauschii subsp. strangulata, 698 nucleotides long. RefSeq lists it as uncharacterized. The record is from RefSeq and is a predicted model, not a curated record. NCBI's taxonomy places the organism in Eukaryota, Viridiplantae, Streptophyta, Magnoliopsida, Poales, Poaceae.
CAGGCUAUCGAUCUUCACACUCGCGCGCAGGGCGCACGACGCAGCCCAGCUCGCCCCCGACGCGCAGACGUCACGCCCCGACUCCCCGUCACCUGCUCGCCUGCGCCCUCCGCCGCUCGUGACGGCCGCCGAUGAAUCCGCCGCUCGCCCGUGCCCUCCGGCCUACGCUGCUCGUGACGACCGCUGGUGACUCCGCCGCUCAUCCGCCUGGCCUGCUCCGCUGCUCGCGCCGUCGCCCGUCUCGCCGUCCGGCCGUCCCCUGCUCGCCUGCUGCCCUACUCCGCCGCUCGCGCAGCCCAGCUCGCCGUCUCGCCCGAUCUGCUGGCUCCUGCUCUCCGCCACGCGCAGGACUGCUCUCUGCUGCCGGAUGUAAAUAAAAGAUGACGAGAUAUUUUUCAUUGUGGCCGCAACAGAAGUGCUACACCCGGAGUUUUAGCAGGGAUUCAAGGGGCCAAGAGGACUGAAGCAACUCCAGAAAAUGAAACAACUGCAGAAAUGGGACCACCGCCUUCAAUCUCAACUCGAGAAAGCAACUGAUGAAGCAAGCCAUUGAUUUGGUACUCUUUUUACUUCACAUACUGUUUGUAGUUUUUGUUAUCUUUUUUGUUGUAUUUUUAAGCAUUGAGUUUAUAAAUUCUAAAUUUGUGGUGUAAUUGAGCCAUAUUUGAGGUAGCUAUAGUCUGAUGGACGUUAAGUUU